Molecule: long non-coding RNA, 4895 nt
Filed under: Paramuricea clavata
Lineage: Eukaryota; Metazoa; Cnidaria; Anthozoa; Malacalcyonacea; Plexauridae
Source: RNAcentral
CCAUUGCACAUGACGUCACAGCGCCGGUGACGAUGCAUCUGGAGGACAAAUUAGCAAUCUAUGCAUAAUAUAACUUUUGUAAACAAAGCAAAUUUUGUAAAACUUUAUAAUAAUUUUGUAUUAAAAUGGUUAGUUUUUGCGCUGUAUGUGGUUGUUGUACCCGAACAGAUAUUGCUAGGGAGCAUCUGGAGGACACUCUAAGGAUUUGUGACGUCACUGCAAAGGGUCUAUAGUUAGUUCUGAGUCGUAUGUAAAGUAAUCUGAAAUCAAGGGGAGGAGGGAGGAGGAGGAGGGAGGCUCAUUGCUAAAAGCUAUAAGUAGGAAAUAAGGGACGAAAAUAAUGAAUAUGUCAAAACCAGUUUAAAUUCCAUAAUAAUCUAAUGGAUAUCUUUGCUUUUUGCGGUGUUUUAGGGAAAGGCUUGCAUGGAUCAAAUGACACAAACGGUAUACUAUCGAUUUUUCAAAUAAUAGUUAUGAUACCAGGCUGCCUUUCAAACAUAGACGUCUGUGCUCAAAAUUUGUAGAUCCCUUGGUAACCGUCAUUUAUUGAAAACAUUGAAUUUAUGAAUUAUGAUAAAUUUAUCUCGUACGGUUUCGACUUCUGCAUUAUGCAGUUUUGGGGGGCAUGAAUUCGCAUCAGGGAAGAGAAGAAUGCUCCCACACGUCGUCAACCUAUAUAAUAACAUUGAACUGAUAACGUGGGCCGACUGGAUUUCUACAUGUACUGUAGGUUCUGUGACAAAGACUUACUGAUACAAAAACGGGAUGGAGGAAAAUAUCGUGCACAUUCUUUGCCUAGGAAGCUUCGUUGUUCAAAGCAUUUACUUGAAGAAGAUCAUGCAUUUCGACUCUAUACUAAAAUGCAAUUGGCAAUACUGGAAAAUGCCCUAUCUGGCAAACUUGAACUGUCUGUUCCAGCGUCAGAUAGUGCCAAUAAUAUUAACAAGCUUUCGUUGGUAGGCAUGCAACUACUUGAAAAAUAUAAGGAGAAUUUUGACGUUUCGAGCGAAGGCCCUUCGUCUGCAGAGUUAGUCUAGCCUAUCCGGCAAAACAAGUCGAAUUACACAAUAUUUUGAUUUUUUUGUAGAAUGUUGGUUUUGAAGGUUUAUACAACGUUUUGUCGACCAUCCCAGUUCUGAAUAAGGUACGUGGAAAUUCGAAUAUAUUAAGACCGUUUUCGACUUCAACCGUAUCGUACAGAGAGGUACUGGUGAGCAUGCGUAGAUUGAAAAGAGGUUCACAAAUUCACGUAUUUCCGCUAUAUAUUCGCGUAUCAAAAUGAAAAUUAAAGUUCACUAAAUUUUAAAAUAUUUUUGGAUAACGUUUAUAUAAGUGGAAAACGCUUCAAGUGCAAGAGACGUUUUGCGAUGAAAAGCGAUCGGUCAGACGUUUGAUUUAGUCAGAUCUAUUUUAUUGAAACGAUAUAUUACGUCACUAAAAAAUGUCACGUGUGGCGGCUUUAUACUGUACCCAAUAAAAAAACAUUGUCAUUAUUGAUGUAAACUCUCCUAUGCAGUGCUACAGGCGUCGGAAACCCGUUUUUUCUAUUUUAACUGCAGAUAUAAGCUACAAAUUAAUUUAGUCAUUAUGGAACAAAAUGCAUUGUGCCACAUCCGAAUAACCUACACAGUAUCCUUGAACAUCAUCUAUUUCAGUUGCCAUGUUUAUAAAAUUAAUCUAAAAAACUUUACAAACAUAUUUAGGAGAAAGUUGGAAUUAGUUCUUCUAAAUUUCACUUGAUUUACACAGUACAACUUAAAAGUUGCAGUAUUAAAGUAGGUUGCAUACGACAGUUUUAGGCACAACUUAGUACACACGUAAAAACGCACAAGUUUGUUACAAGUUGUUAACAAGAUGUAUUCGCACUGCUUGUCACAAGUUGUCAACAGGUUUGGAACAACUUGUUGACAACUUGUAACAACCUUGUCGAAAUUAUCAGACUUGUUGCAAGGUUGUUCUGACAAGUCUGUGACAUGCUUGAUAUAACAAGAUUGUUACAACCUUGUGUUGACAACCUUGUAACAUCCUUGUUAUAUCAUGGCUGUAACAAACGUGUUAGCACAAUCUUGUAACAAGGCUGAUAAUGCCAUCAAGCUUGUUACAAGUUGUUAACAGCUUGUUUCAAACGUGUUACAACAAACUGGGAACAAGCAGUGCGAGCACAACUUGUUGACAGCUUGUGAACAGACGUGUAACAACUUGUUUGCAGACUUAUUAAUUGUUACAACUUGUGCGUUUUUACGUGUGUAGUGUAUAUUGGCCUUUACUGUGCAACAGUGCGUGCUGUCAGUAAUGUCUGGUGCAUGUUAAAGGAAGUGACACGAAAAUUAUGCAGGCCUUAAAAUAUCUUUUACAGGGCCGUCUGACAAAAUGUCCGAUGACGUUGAGUUUGGGUCGGACAUAUGUCCGAUGACCUUCAGUUCAGUUUUGACUUGGAAAUAAUUCUGAAUGACACAAAUGUUGUGAAGAUUUUAAAUAAUUUGUUUCUUUCAUACUUAUUUCCAAGCCAAAAUUAACUUGCUUUCCAGAACAGCAGUAAAAGACUUUACAACUUAAACCCGUUUUCCACUUCACCAUUUCGCUCGCCGCCCCGCGCUCGACUACGUUAAAACGACAUUUACAGUUCACCUUUUAUACAACAGUACUCUGAUUUUCCAAUUAACCUACAAGCCUCUAGUCCUGGGCUAGGGUACAUUUUGAUUUACGAUGGACAAAGCUACAGUUCGGUCGGACGCAAAUAUACUCAGGUCGGACAAACAAUAAACCUCAGUUUCACUUAGGUCGGACAGAAUGUCCGGUGGUUUCCUCCCUACGUCGGAUAAUUUCACGAAUGGGUCGGACAAUGUCCGUGACCGACCGAUAUUUUAAGGCCUGAAUUAUGUUAUUCUAAAAUGAUGCUUUUUAUAAUUUUAUUGGAAAGAUUUUUCAAGAUGGUAGUAUAACAUUCUUUAGCUUAUUAGGUUUUUCCAUAUUUCUUUUAAGUCCCGAUCACAAAUGUUCGCUUGAAAUGUAAAUCACAACUUACAAAUCACAUUGCAUAAUGAGCCUGUCAAAUUAAAAUUUGAAGCCUUUUUAGUAUAAAAUUAAUUGAUGGCCGUAUUUGCUAGUGAAGCAAAACCUAAUCAACUUCAAAUAUCGUUUUCCCAUUGGACUACCACCUAAGAUCUUUUCAUUUUAGCACCAAUGAACCAAGUGGCAUUGUAUUAAUUAGUUUCUAGCGCAUAUUACACGACAUAUAAAAAUAUCUCCUCUAAAUUUUGUUUUUAGUUAACAACAUACACUGUCCUAAUGCAAGUGAAUUCUGGUAAAGUGGAAACAUAUCGUCGAUAUUGCAAGGAUCCAUGUUUUCCUUGGUAAUAUCUUCUUCAAUUCAUCAGACUGACUUAAUUAGUGAGCUCAAUAUAUAUUGAUGCAGCAGCAAUGCUGCAUGCAUGAGUAAUAUCUUAGACACUGAAAGUGACAAAGCGAAACUCGAUUUAUAUGGACGUCAGUUUCAAUCCUCUAGCUGGAGCAUGGUUGUUAUAAGACCUGGUUAGGAAACCCGGCAAACUUCAAAGAAAGUACGCUAUCAACCAACAUGGAGGUUGAACAGUCAGUUUGACCCUGCACAUAUUGGUUUUAAUCAAUGAGAAUUGACAAAACGAUGUAACACAAACAUUCUCCAUCGAAAAAUGGUGGUAAUACUGUACUUCGUUAUUUGGAAAAUAUAUGCCGCAAGAUAUAGCCCCGGUAGGCAAAACAAAUACUUGGUACCCAUUCCCUUCGCCAAGCUUUCUGAACUGACUAUUGUCAAACAAUAGAAAGACAAAGGAUUUUUCAACCGUGACCCUGCACAAGGCACACAAUCACCUAAAACAAAGGGUUUCCAAACCAUGUCAUAUAUAUUAACCCUAUGGCUGGAGGCAAUGACAUUUUUUUGUGGUUAAAACGUGUGAGUGGACUGGAACUGACGUCGUUACUGUCGAUGCAAUGGAAGUGUUGAUAAAAUAUUGCAUGAAUUCAUUUCCUCAAGUUGAUCAAUUCAUACGAAUUCAAAUUUCUUUUUACUUCCUGUGCGUUUCCUAUUGGUCAAUCGGUUCUGAAACGAAAUCUAAUUGGCUCAUCUAAAAGUAACAGGAAAUCAGGCCCCCCAUAAAUUUGAGGGCCUGCCACGCAGGUAGAUAGAUAGAUAGAAAAAUCCUUUGUCUUUCUAUUGUUUUUCCUAGAAGGAAUUGGUGCAAUAUUUUAUCAACACUUCCAUUGCAUCGUCAGUAAGAUAAUGUUUUUGGAGAAUUUACUUGUAAGAUCUUACUUUAUGUUAUACAGGGUGUCCCAAAAAAACGAAAACUAUUGCAAUCACCAAUAACAAUUUAAUUGUUAGAAUUUGAAUGUCUUAGCACUCUGUUGGUUCCCACGAGUGCAUAAAUGAUUGACAUAAGUAAAUUUUAUGCAUAAAGAAACUGUUUAAGAAGCUGUUUUAAAUUCCCAAGAGCAGAAGAUCGCGCACUUUACAAUGAGAUGAUUUUAACUAAAUUUUAAUACAUGCACCUUGUCAAUAUUUUACGCAUCAUUACGUUCAGCUGUUUGGAAGGGCAUUCAAAUUUAACAAUAGUGAUUUCAAAAGUUUUCGGGGUUUUUGGGACACCCUGUAUAUACAUUGAACUCAAUUGACUAAACAGUCAUGCAGUAUGAUUUUUAAUAAUUACUGAAUAUUAUAAUACAAAAGGAAAUCAUGGUUUUGGUUGAAUGCCAACAAGCUUUUCAUGGUUAAAUAUCUAAUAUAGGUGGGGAGUUUAAAUUAAUUAAAAAGAAAAUGAAAUGUAUAGUGAUUUUAUUAAAAUUUUUGCUUCAGUAGGCUCAGUGAUGGAAAGUUAUUAUAUUUGGAAUGAUAUUGUAAACUAGCGCGAAAAAGCGGG